UACGGGGGGGGCAAGCGUUGUUCGGAAUUACUGGGCGUAAAGGGCUCGUAGGUGGCCAACUAAGUCAGACGUGAAAUCCCUCGGCUUAACCGGGGAACUGCGUCUGAUACUGGAUGGCUUGAGGUUGGGAGAGGGAUGCGGAAUUCCAGGUGUAGCGGUGAAAUGCGUAGAUAUCUGGAGGAACACCGGUGGCGAAGGCGGCAUCCUGGACCAAUUCUGACGCUGAGGAGCGAAAGCUAGGGGAGCAAACGGG
This 253-nucleotide ribosomal RNA is filed under the name uncultured bacterium. RNAcentral describes it as "partial 16S ribosomal RNA". It matches the Rfam family "Bacterial small subunit ribosomal RNA", at positions 524 to 776 of the family's 1533-position model. The record is from RNAcentral.